UAGUACGGCGAGUGAAGAGGGAAGAGCCCAAGAUUGAAAGCUGGCGUCUUCGGCGUCCGCAUUGUAAUCUCAAGAAGUGUUUUCCGCUUCGGACCAAGCCUAAGUCCCCUGGAAAGGGGCAUCAUAGAGGGUGAUAAUCCCGUACAUGGCUUGGAGCGCCCGAGGCUUUGUGAUACGCUUUCUAAGAGUCGAGUUGUUUGGGAAUGCAGCUCAAAAUGGGUGGUAAAUGCCAUCUAAGGCUAAAUAUUGGGGAGAGACCGAUAGCGAACAAGUACAGUGAUGGAAAGAUGAAAAGAACUUUGAAAAGAGAGUUAAACAGUACGUGAAAUUGCCAAAAGGGAAGGGUAGGAGGUCAGAGAUGCGGCCUGGGAUUCAGCCUUGCUUUUGCUUGGCGUUUUUCCCAGAUUGCAGGCCAACGUCGGUUUUGGGCACUGGAGAAGGGUAGGAGGAACGUGGCACCCCUCGGGGUGUGUUAUAGCCUCCUACUGGAUACAGCGACCGAGACCGAGGACAGCAGCGUACUCGCAAGAGCGGGCCUUCGGGCACCUUUACGCUUAGGGCGUUGGCAUAAUGGCCCUCUACCACCCGUCUUG
Molecule: ribosomal RNA, 593 nt
Filed under: uncultured Pseudozyma
Lineage: Eukaryota; Fungi; Basidiomycota; Ustilaginomycetes; Ustilaginales; Ustilaginaceae
Description: LSU rRNA
Rfam family: Eukaryotic large subunit ribosomal RNA
Source: RNAcentral